This 429-nucleotide ribosomal RNA is filed under the name Chloroflexota bacterium. Its description in RNAcentral is "Chloroflexi bacterium partial 16S ribosomal RNA". It matches the Rfam family "Bacterial small subunit ribosomal RNA", at positions 355 to 776 of the family's 1533-position model. The record is from RNAcentral. Lineage: Bacteria; Bacillati; Chloroflexota.
UGGGGUAUAUUGCACAAUGUGCGCAAGCCUGAUGCAGCCAUGUCGCGUGUGUGAAGAAUGCCUUCGGGUUGUAAAGCACUUUCAGCGGGGAGGAAGGCGGUGAGGUUAAUAGCCUCAUCGAUUGACGUUACCCGCAGAAGAAGCACCGGCUAACUCCGUGCCAGCAGCCGCGGUAAUACGGAGGGUGCAAGCGUUAAUCGGAAUUACUGGGCGUAAAGCGCACGCAGGCGGUUUGUCAAGUCGGAUGUGAAAUCCCCGGGCUCAACCUGGAAACUGCAUUCGGAACUGGCAGGCUAGAGGCUUGUAGAGGGGGGUAGAAUUCCAGGUGUAGCGGUGAAAUGCGUAGAGAUCUGGGGGAAUACCGGUGGCGAAGGCGGCCCCCUGGAAAAAGACUGACGCUCAGGUGCGAAAGCGUGGGGAGCAAACAGG